GAUUAACGCUUGCGGCAUGCCUAAUUCAUGCAAGUCGAGCGAACAGACGAGGAGCUUGCUCCUCUGACGUUAGCGGCGUACGGGUGAGUAACACGUGGAUAACCUACCUAUAAGACUGGGAUAAUGUCGGGAAACCGGACCUAAUACCGUAUAAUAUAUUGAACUUCUUGGGUCAGUCGUGAAAGACGGUUUAGCUGCCACUUAUAAAUGUAUCCACUCCGCAUUCGCUAUUUAGUAUGAUAACGCCUUACCAAGGCAACCAUGCGUAGCCUACCUGAGAGGGUGGUCGGCCACACUGGACCUGAGACACGGUCCAGACUCCUACGGGAGGCAGCAGUGGGGAGUCUUCCGCAAUAGGCGACAGCCUGACGGAGCAACGCGCCGUGAGUGAUGAAGGUCUACGGAUCGUAAAACUCUGUUAUUAGGGAAGAACAAAUGUGUAAGUACCUAUGCACGUCUUGACGGUACCUAAUCAGAAAGCCACGGCUAAAUACGUG
RNAcentral lists this ribosomal RNA (497 nucleotides) under uncultured bacterium. RNAcentral describes it as "partial 16S ribosomal RNA". It matches the Rfam family "Bacterial small subunit ribosomal RNA", at positions 28 to 507 of the family's 1533-position model. The record is from RNAcentral.